CUCCGUGUAGGCCGCAGUGAAGCCUGAACUCGAGUAGGGCCCAAGCCAGCCAGGAAGGAGGAGGCCGCCAGAGUGUUCUCUGCAGCAGAAGACCCCUUGCUGCCCUGCUUAACCCAGACCAGCAUUUGCCAGGUGCCAGACAUCGUGUUGACACUUUCAACAAGCUGUCCACCACAACUCCUUGUCGGUCAAUGACUGCUCAGACCCCAUCAGCGUAUAUAUGAAGUGAGGGUUUUUUGCCCCAAUAUUCAUCACUUUACACUUGCUAACCUUGAGUCUAACCUUGUGAUUUCUCUUUCUUUCAAAUGUAGCUCAAGAAGGGGGAAAGAAGGCUUGAACCUCAGAAUGAUGUUUAUCUUUGUCAAAGCGUUCAUGCUAGGAAAUGCAUGUUUUAAUCUGUGCUUUGUUGCAGUCAAAGGUGACCAGAUUUUCUAUGAAGGAUCUUCCCAGGGAAAUGUUUGUCCACCAGAGAUAAGCGAGACUGUCACAGAAAUCUUGUGAAGAAAAUGAACCUUAGGGUUCAACCACUUGCCAUUGAGAAAGGGUGUUGGAAAUGGCAAUUGGAUUACUCCAAGCCAGAAAGUGAAGGGGUAAUCCUACCUUAAACCUGAAGAAGAUGUGGGGAUUCAUAUGUAAAUAGAUUCUCUGUACAGAGACUCUGACUUCAGUUCCCAUCCAAAAAAGACAUGUAACCCAGCUAAAGGUAAAGUUGUGCCAUCGAGCCAGUGUCGACUCCUGGCGACCACAGAGCCCUGUGGUUGUCUUUUAAGAAUACAGGAGGGGUUUACCAUUGCCAUCUCCCACACAGUAUGAGAUGGUGCCUUUCAGCUUCUUCCUAUAUCACUGUUGCCCGAUAUAAGUGUUUCCCAUAGUCUGGGUUUUUUCUUAUUUGAGCAAAGAGGAACAUUUUUUGAAGUGGUGAUUUUCUUUAUUUAGCAGGGGGAGAGCAACUAGCCCUAUUCAACUCCAGCUCAGCAUCCCUCUCAUGGCUGUUGCUGGUGUCUCCCAUAUGUUUCUUUUUAGAUUGUGAGCCCUUUGGGGAUAGGGUGCCAUAUUUAUUUAUCUAUUUAUUUAUAGCUAUGUAAACCGCUUUGAGAUCUUUGGUUGAAGAGCUGUAUAUAAAUAUUUGUAGUAGUAGUAAAGUUUCUUAAAUUUA
Hemicordylus capensis (graceful crag lizard) is the source of this 1156-nucleotide long non-coding RNA. RefSeq lists it as uncharacterized. The record is from RefSeq and is a predicted model, not a curated record. Lineage: Eukaryota; Metazoa; Chordata; Lepidosauria; Squamata; Cordylidae. The transcript is spliced from 2 exons.